This 494-nucleotide ribosomal RNA is filed under the name uncultured bacterium. Its description in RNAcentral is "partial 16S ribosomal RNA". It matches the Rfam family "Bacterial small subunit ribosomal RNA", at positions 28 to 507 of the family's 1533-position model. The record is from RNAcentral.
GACGAACGCUGGCGGCGCGCUUAACACAUGCAAGUCGAACGGAAAGGCCUGCUUUCCCUUGUGGAUUGCGGGUACUCGAGUGGCGAACGGGUGAGUAACACGUGAGUGAUCUGCCCCCAACUUGGGUAUAAGCCUGGGAAACUGGGUCUAAUUCCCGAUAGGACUGCAGGGUGGUGCCUGUGGUGGAAAACGAUUUUCUAGCGGUUGGGGAUGAGCUCGCGGCCUAUCAGCUUGUUGGUGGGGUAAUGGCCUACCAAGGCGGCGACGGGUAGCCGGCCUGAGAGGGUGGACGGCCACAUUGGGACUGAGAUACGGCCCAGACUCCUACGGGAGGCAGCAGUGGGGAAUAUUGCACAAUGGGCGGAAGCCUGAUGCAGCGACGCCGCGUGGGGGAUGACGGCCUUCGGGUUGUAAACUCCUUUCGACCGCGAGGAAGCCACCUGGUUGGAAGGGUGGUGACGGUAGUGGUAGAAGAAGCACCGGCUAACUACGUG